CGGAGGGUGCGAGCGUUGUCCGGAAUCAUUGGGCGUAAAGGGCGCGUAGGUGGCCCGGUCAGUUCGUGGUGAAAGCGCGGGGCUCAACUCCGCGUCGGCCAUGAAUACUGCGGGGCUGGAGCACUGUAGAGGCAGGCGGAAUUCCGGGUGUAGCGGUGGAAUGCGUAGAGAUCCGGAAGAACACCGGUGGCGAAGGCGGCCUGCUGGGCAGUUGCUGACACUGAGGCGCGACAGCGUGGGGAGCAAACAGGAUUAGAUACCCUGGUAGUCCACGCCGUAAACGAUGGGCACUAGGCGCUUGGGGGAGCGACCCCCCGAGGGCCGGCGCUAACGCAUUAAGUGCCCCGCCUGGGGAGUACGGCCGCAAGGCUG
Molecule: ribosomal RNA, 372 nt
Filed under: uncultured organism
Description: bacterial SSU rRNA
Rfam family: Bacterial small subunit ribosomal RNA
Source: RNAcentral